CUUGUAGUUAGUGAACAAAUUGGCUGUGUUUCAGGAUGUGAUGUUGAUAUUUCUAAGAUACUUUUCUUUAGUUUAGGACAUGGCUGUGUAGUACUCGGCCCCCACAUAAUCUCAUCUAUCUAGAGAAGGAUCAGCCCGUUUUCCAGAUUAGAAACCGGAGGCCAGUAUCUAGUUGUUAGUGAACAAAUGAGCCGUGCUUCUGGAUCUGAUGUUGGUGAUAUUUCUAUUGUGCUUCCCUUCAGUUUAGGAUGUGACUCUCUAGAACAUGGCAACCAUGUAAUCUUCCUAUCUGGAGCAGCACCGACCCAUUUUCCUGAUGAGAAACUGUGUUUAGCAUGUGGCUCUCUAGAACUUGGCAACCAUGUAAUCUUCCUAUCUGGAGCAGCACCGAACAAUUUUCCUGAAGCGAAACUGUGUUUAGCAUGUGGCUCUCUAGAACUUGGCAACCAUGUAAUCUUCCUAUCUGGAGCAGCACAGACCCGUUUUCCUGAUGAGAAACUGUGUUUAGGAUGUGACUCUCUAGAACAUGGCAACCAUGUAAUCUUCCUAUCUGGAGCAGCACCGACCCAUUUUCCUGAUGAGAAACUGUGGACAUUGACAAAAACAUUAAAAACCAGAAGGCCAAGCAUUGGGCUACCUUGCUGGAGACCUCCUUCCAAGCUGCUGUAAUCCUCUUGACUUCUUUUUGGGUCCCCAGGAGAUUGGAAGAAAUGGCCUCUGGGGUCCCUUCUAGUUAUGGAUUGAUGAUCCCUAUGCUCCUAAAUCACUUCUGCUCCCUGGUCUCCGGUUUCCUCCUGUCACAUGAGAGGCUAGAACAGUGUAGUCAGUGGACUUGGAGUUAAGAAGACCUGGGUUCAAAUCCCACCUCAGACACUAGGUAAGCGGUGACAACUCUGGACGAGUUGCUUGAACUUUUCUGAGACUCAGUUUUCCUGUCUUUAAAAUGAAUGAGCAGGUUGGACCCCUUGACCUCCAAGGCCCCUGAGCCCCCAAGAUGACCUCUGAAGCUUCUUCUAGGUCUAGCCUGAUGGUCCAACAUAGUUUCCUCAGUAAACAAAAUUAUUCUUUGAUGCUAGAGUAAUGUCAGGAGGCUGAAAACAUGCCACACUGUCCUGCUAGAAAGGAUCUCCUGUAAGCAUACAUGGCGUAACCAGUUCUGAGUUUGGUUCAUUCCCCUAAACACAAUUCACAUCACCAGUUUGGGAGUUGUGUGGCCAGGAAAUGAAUCCAAAGUGAGGCUGGUUUGGGGGGGCAGGAGGACACGGGUGGGAAGGUGCUGCCAAUUCCUUCCCUGGGCCUCACUUUCUUUCUCUGCAGAAAGUAGGGGGUAAACUCAGCAGUCUCUAAGGCCUCCUCCAGCUUCCCUCUUCUAUUGUGUCCUCAUUCACAUUUGGCUUUCAGAAUCUGUAGUCUCUGCAAGGUUUGCAGUCCACAUUCCCAGUUUACUACUUCAAGGAAAAGCACAAAGUGUAACACUGACCACUAGUGGAAAGAAAGCAGGGCACAUGUAUUUACAAAGAAGCCUGCGAUGCCAACAAGCUAAGGCCCAGCAUUUCUUGGACGUUCCCUCCAAAUGAGAAUUGCAGCGUCCUCUGAGUUUUGCCCGUGGAGCAUGGGAUGGGGGUCUGGUACGAGCUCCCUUCUCCCCCUCUUUGCUCUCUGGGGUUUCAGGAUUUGUAAAAGCUUUUGUUAACAACUCUUAGUGUUCCCAUUUUACAAAAAGAAGAAAUUGAAGAGGAGAUGAUAAGUAACUUGGCCAAGGGUACAUGGAUUGCAGGCAGCAGAGCUGGUGGGGGGCUCGAAACUGGGUUUUCAGAUGCCAACUAGGUAUUUUUCCCAGAUUGCUUUGUAUGAUUGAAAAAGCAAAUAGUAUCAUAAGCUUUAAAAUGAUGUUGUAUCGGGAUUCCCCACAUGAAAUCCCACCACUUUUAAGGCUGUCUGGUAGAGGGAGUAGAUGACAGAUACAAAUAUUCUGACAUUCUCAAACAUAGUAUGGUGGAAAAGGCAGGCAUGUGGAGUCAGAGAUUUGGUGUCCUGGUUCUGCUACUUUUUACUUGUGUGACCUUGGACGAGUCACCUUACCUCCUCAUACCUCAGUUUCUUCAUUUGUAAAAUGAAGGGAGAGUGGACUUGAUGACCUCUAAUAUCACCUAUAGCUUAAGAGCUAGAAUUCUAUACACCCCUUGAAGAUGGGACUGUUUUUCUUUUGUCUUUGUUAUCCUAAGCAUCUUACUCUCUCUCUCUUGCACAUAGUAGGCGUGACACGAAUGCUUGCUAAAUUGAAAGCAGCUGUUCAGUUUACUCCCAAGAGGCCUACACAAAUACAUAGAAGCUCACUGCUGUGAGUUCCAUUUGAUGACCAUUCCUUGGAAGACAAUGUAAGUCUGAAUUGUGUAAAGCAAAGAUGUAUGAAAUCAGGAGCAGCUGAUGUUUGGGUUGCUACUUCAGCUUAUCCCCUGCACCAACCCUGAACUCAGUAUGAGUAUUCUUCAAAGCAGAAUCUAGUGGAGCUCUCCCCAAGGUCAACAGAUGUGGUGUACCCAAGUAGGAAAGUCUGGCUCUGACAAUUUCUACCUAUGUAAUAAUAAUAAUAGCUAACAUUUUGUGCCAGGCAUAUAGUAAAUAUUAUCUCAUUUCAUCCUGACAACAGACCUGGGAGGUAGAUGCUGCUAUCCCUAUUUUACAUAUGGGGAAACUGAGGCAGACAGAGAUUUUUUUUUUUAAGCGCCUUGCUCAAGACCAUACAACUAAUAAAUGUCUGAGGCAGAAUUUGAAAUCA
This is a long non-coding RNA of Monodelphis domestica (gray short-tailed opossum), 2779 nucleotides long. NCBI's taxonomy places the organism in Eukaryota, Metazoa, Chordata, Mammalia, Didelphimorphia, Didelphidae. The record is from Ensembl.